This 368-nucleotide ribosomal RNA is filed under the name uncultured organism. RNAcentral describes it as "bacterial LSU rRNA". It matches the Rfam family "Bacterial large subunit ribosomal RNA", at positions 2099 to 2465 of the family's 2925-position model. The record is from RNAcentral.
CUUUACUGUAACCUGGUAUUGGGUUCGGGCUUUGACUGCGCAGGAUAGGUGGGAGACUAUGAAGUUUGCCUUGUGGGGCAAAUGGAGUCAACGGUGAGAUACCACUCUGUCAGAGCUAGGAUUCUAACCUUCACCCAUGAUCUGGGGAAGGAACCGUAUCAGGCGGGCAGUUUGACUGGGGCGGUCGCCUCCUAAAUGGUAACGGAGGCGCGCAAAGGUGUUCUCAGGCUGGUUGGAAAUCAGCCGCAGAGUGUAAAGGCAAAAGAACGCUUGACUGUGAGAGUGGCAACUCGAGCAGGGUGGAAACACGGCCUUAGUGAUCCGACGGCUUGUGCGUGGAAAUGCCGUCGCUCAACGGAUAAAAGUUA